AAACCCAGACUGCUGGCCUCCUGCCCUGUGGCAGUUUAUGGGGAACCCUCUGAACACAAUUUGGAAACAGCUGUUGUAGUUUAAGAAUCAUGGGCCUUGGAUUUAGACCCUUUUCCACUCCCCAGACAUGGGCCAAGGAUGGCUUCAACCAACUGGCUGCUUCAGCCUAGCUAGAGCCCAUGAAGAUCGGUGCACCCAAGAGGACGGAUUCUUAAUCCUACCAGGAUAUAACCUCCCUGCAUCUGGCUCCGUGCUCAGUGGGGAC
This is a long non-coding RNA of Mustela erminea (ermine), 265 nucleotides long. RefSeq lists it as uncharacterized. The transcript has 3 exons. NCBI's taxonomy places the organism in Eukaryota, Metazoa, Chordata, Mammalia, Carnivora, Mustelidae. The record is from RefSeq and is a predicted model, not a curated record.